UAUCAGGAUGUGCCCACCUGCAGCAGU
RNAcentral lists this non-coding RNA (27 nucleotides) under Mus musculus (house mouse). The record is from RNAcentral. Lineage: Eukaryota; Metazoa; Chordata; Mammalia; Rodentia; Muridae.